Molecule: ribosomal RNA, 471 nt
Filed under: uncultured bacterium
Lineage: Bacteria
Description: bacterial SSU rRNA
Rfam family: Bacterial small subunit ribosomal RNA
Source: RNAcentral
UGGGGAAUAUUGGACAAUGGGCGCAAGCCUGAUCCAGCAACGCCGCGUGGAGGACGAAGGUCUUCGGAUCGUAAACUCCUGUCAGACGGGACGAACGAAUGUCGGUAAAUAAUCGACGUUCUUGACGGUACCGUCAGAGGAAGCCCCGGCUAACUCCGUGCCAGCAGCCGCGGUAAUACGGAGGGGGCGAGCGUUAUUCGGAAUUAUUGGGCGUAAAGGGCGCGUAGGCGGCCCUGUAAGCCAAAGGUGAAAUCCCUCGGCUCAACUGAGGAACUGCCUUUGGAACUGCAUGGCUUGAGGCCGGAGGGGGUAGCGGAAUUCCCAGUGUAGCGGUGAAAUGCGUAGAUACUGGGAGGAACACCGGUGGCGAAGGCGGCUACCUGGACCGGUUCUGACGCUGAUGCGCGAAAGCGUGGGGAGCAAACAGGAUUAGAUACCCAAGUAGUCCCUGAGCGGGCUGGCAAGGCGCAU